UGGUCUCUAACAACUUUUAUUAUUUGAUCAAGAGUAAAAGCUCCACCUGAGCCAUUAGAUUUUACAAUAUGAAUACGAUUCCAAGUGAUUUUAAAAAUGCAUAUUAUGCAUGUAAUAGACCGUCACAGAUCUGAAUUGAAUCUUAGUGUGUUACGUUACCAUACAGAUAGGAGUAUUUGUGUUAAAGUUACUGCACUUCUGAGAACUUAAAAAUCAGCUGCACUGUUUACUUUGGUAUUUUGUUUCUUUAAAUAACCAAAUGCUCAGUCCAUGGUUUUGAUGAAUGCCCUGCAAAAGGUUGGUGUAAUAAGCUAUGGUGCUUAGGAUUUAUCAGAGAGCAAACUCAGAAUCCACCUAAGAUCACUGCUUCUCUCUGUGAUCUUUAAAACGCUCCCAUGUACUUUUGCAAACCUGUGAAUUAUACUUUUGUUUUAGGUUGGAAACCAGCAGUUCCUUUCAAUUCCUCAGAUGCUGAGGUAGAAAAGAAGGGCCUUGGUGUGUAUUUCAGACCACAGAUCCCUAUGUGAGCAUCCCCAGCCCAUCCUGAGUAGGUCUGCUACACCGCACGGGGAUGAGCUGGUUAUUUCCAUGCUUAGAACAACCUCUCCGGUGAGCUGAUGGAGGCAUGAAAACCUUCACCUUGUGCUUUGAGAGAGGUGGUAUCAAGCUGCCCGUGCUCCCAGGGCAAGCAAAGAGGACUUAAACCCCCCUUGGAAAGAAAUGGAGAAGUGGAAAAGCCCACAAAGCCACGCGCAGAAAGACCAUGUUGGCGAGCGCCGAUGCGGACAUGAGUUGACUUAGUGAGAACCAAAUGAGCCCCUUCCUUGCCCUGUGCCCUUGGCUGAGCCUUGCUCCAGGGGCCCCGCAGAGGCUGAGCCGCAGAGGGGGGCGCUCAGAGGGGUGGCCGGGUCCCCCCCCUGCAGCGGCGAUGCCGCUUCUCAAGGCGGAACCAGCGAAACCAGUUAUCUGGCAGCAAUUUGCAUAUUUAUGGUGCCUCCUGCCGCUCUUCGUGAUUGCUUUACAGGCAGGAAAGGUAACAGAGAAAUACAUAACCCCCUCUAAAAUGGCAAAGAGGCUCCUACGUGCGCAGGGGCUCUGAUAGAAGAGCAAGCCCCUGGCAAGAAAUCUGUUUACCAAACGAUUUUUUGGUCUUAAGAAUCGAAGGCAGUUGUGGUUUUGGUUUUAUUAAGUUCUGAGGAUGCUCGGUGUGUGCAAACUGCUAGAGACAAGUGCUGAUCGUUGCAGGGAAAAAUAAUUAGCCUCGUCAUAUUCGCCGAGUGUCUACGUCGAAGGAAGAGGCAAUCCUCGGAGAAUGGGAGAAGCAUUCAAUAGACACUUUAAAAGUCUAGUGUCAUGGUACAUAUAUUUUUUAGUCCCACUCAUAAGCAGUGUACAAAUGUGCAGCGCGGCUUUGAAUAUAAAAGCUAAUUAGGUCUCAAUAGAGAAUAGUUUCCUUUUUAUUGGCUCCGAGUACAACGGCUGUCUAAGAUCCACCUCGGCUCCCAAACGCUUUUGGCCUUCCUCGUAGGAUCUGCUGUGUCUGUGUCCCCACACAUCCUUAUGUGUUCAGAUACCUUCAGAUCUGGGUAGCAUGAACCGAGGUGCCAGGAGGUCCAUAGUUCACCUCACCCUGCACCAAGGAGCCCUUUGGAGCUGUUCCAGAGCUGGGAUCACAGAGGUCCACAUCACUCCAGCCACAUCUAGACUAAACUCCCUGCUGCAGUGGGGAACAGCACUUAAAUGAUAGGGCCAGUAUUUACCCUGCAUUUACCUAUAGCCCCUGUCACUGUAAAGUCUGAGGGUGGUGUAUGUCAGCACAGCGGUCUGUGGAUCUCUCCCUCCAUGUGUUUACACCUAUUUCUCUCUCUGUCAGCACUCAGAUGCUGUGAAACUUAAUACGAUGGGGCAAAUGGAAGUCUGACUCGUGAAUACAUUCAUUUCAGUAUGGUAAUAUCAAACAUUGCACGUAUUUCUGAUUUCUGUAUUUAAUUUCCCUUGCUUUUAUUUUUUAGAUGCCGGGGAAUAGUUGCUCGCUGAACAAUAGCGUUAGUACAAUAACUCCCCCCAACCCCUGCAUUCAUACUUAAUGCACAUCAGCUUUCUAUGUAACACCAUACAAUAUACUUGCAUGUUAUUUUAAUUGAGUGAAAUCUUAUUCACACUGGUGGUACAAAGCAUUCUUUUCACUGCAGUCAGAAUUCGUACUCUACCAUAAAAAUUAUAUGUGCUGACAAUAACAAACGGUGGCAAAACUAUCCGAGCUGCUCCAAAAAGUGGGCUCUUAUCACAGGUUAUUCACCACCGCUCCUGCUCCCCCUUGGUACUGUGUCUUUCCAUGCAGCUUUGGGCUACAUAAUCAUAUAUUCUUCCAACUACAGAGAGUUGCAUUAAAAUAUUACUGUGAGCAGUCUAACAAUUAAGCUGAACUUUUGCAUAGAAUAAAUAUGGCCAAGAAGAAAACCCACAGUAAAGCUGUAGUUUUUAAAUGCAGGGGAAGAUCUCUGCUAUCUCCACAGUUAAUUCCUUUUCAUCUUAAAUCCUCACACAAACUGUGUCGUGUUCUGCAAAGCACGUGCAUUUCUUCAUUGCUAAAGGUAAAAGCUAAACCUAAAUGUCACCUGAAACAGCAAUGUAAAAUGAAUAUAAAGAAUGACCGCUGUGUAUGUUAAAUUUCAGUUUGAUGCCUUCGAAGUGACUAAAAGUCAAGCUCUAAAAAACCAACAUAAUAGAUGUUAUUUACAAACCUAACAGCACGCUUGAGUACAUGCUUACUUUAAGCAUGGAAGUACAGCUGAUGUGCCCAAAAAUAAAUAUGUGCUUAGGAGUUGUGCAGUACCAAAGGCUGAGAAGAUUCCUCUACUAUGGGAUAUAUGGAGCAGGGUUAGAGGAGGAAAAUAUCCUUUAUUAUUGCCCUGCCCUUCUCUGCUCUCCCUCACACCAAGCGUGCUGGGAAGAUGGAGCUGUGUUUGGCAGCAUCCAAGAAAACAACUAAAUCUUUCCUCAUCCUUGUAGCAAAACUAAUUUCUCUAUGGAAAUUGGUUCUUUUUUGAUUGCUGAUAUUGGGUUUCUCAGAUUAGUGAGUUAUUUUUGUUAUUCCGCUUCCUACAAAUUGAUUGGAUUUAUUGAGUUGGAUUUAUUUUUCAAGACAAAAUGUUUGCAAUUCCUCCUUUUCCCACCUGACGCAUCCAGAGUGGGGCUUCCCAGAUUUCCUCAUAGGGAGUUUGAGCCCCUUGGAUCUAAUCUCACGCAGAAGUGUGAAAAGCUUCUCCUUAUGAUCCCGAGAAGAUCUUGUUCACGAACAGCUGCUGUGCUAAAAGAUCAGUAGUGAGCCCACGUAUUUCAUGUGGUCAGGAUCAGACCAAGCCUGUCCAGCUCUCCUGCCCUCCUUCACUGAGGAGGAGGUACUUUGGAGAUGAAGUGUGGCUGUGUGCUGGUGUUGGACGUGCUGCUAGUUUAAACCUUGGGUUACACACUCUUUGUUCCUGGUUUGCCCCUGCAGGGCUGGGAGCCUGGAUUAGCCUUUCCUGUCCGUGCAGCUUGCUCAUCGCUUCCAAACUCAGCUGUCUCUGUGCUGUGGGUGCUGUCUCCCCCAGAUACUCCUGACUGGGCUGUAAUUCUUUACCUUGUGUUAGCUGGGCAUCUCCUCAAACUUAGCAGUUAGUCAGAAUAUGAAUCAAAAAAGAUGUGUCAGUGACCUGUGUUUCUACCGCUCACAGGCUUGAAGAUGGAACCUGCUUUGUUAAAUGACUCGGGAUCUUCACAACUCUCUUGUGUUUCACAGAAUCCCAGACUGGUUUGGGUUGGAAGGGACCUUAAAGCUCAUCCAGUUCCAACCCCCUGCCACGGGCAGGGACAUCUCACACUAGAGCAGGUUGCUCCAAGCC
RNAcentral lists this long non-coding RNA (3884 nucleotides) under Strigops habroptila (Kakapo). Its description in RNAcentral is "lncRNA (ENSSHBG00005002875.1)". The record is from RNAcentral. Lineage: Eukaryota; Metazoa; Chordata; Aves; Psittaciformes; Psittacidae.